GCAUCUGUACCUCAGUUUGUUAGAGCGCUGCAUCGGAAUUGCAGAGCCGCAGGCAAUUCGAUUCCUGCCGGAGGAC
Non-coding RNA from Paramuricea clavata, 76 nucleotides. Lineage: Eukaryota; Metazoa; Cnidaria; Anthozoa; Malacalcyonacea; Plexauridae. The record is from the annotation of a GenBank genome assembly.